GACGAACGCUGGCGGCGUGCUUAACACAUGCAAGUCGAACGGAAAGGCCCCUUUGGGGGUACUCGAGUGGCGAACGGGUGAGUAACACGUGAGUAACCUGCCCUUGACUUCGGGAUAACUUCAGGAAACUGGGGCUAAUACCGGAUAGGAAUCCUUGCUGCAUGGUGGGGGUUGGAAAGCUUCGGCGGUUUUGGAUGGACUCGCGGCUUAUCAGCUUGUUGGUGGGGUAGUGGCUUACCAAGGCUUUGACGGGUAGCCGGCCUGAGAGGGCGACCGGCCACAUUGGGACUGAGGGACGGCCCAGACUCCUACGGGAGGCAGCAGUGGGGAAUAUUGCACGAGGGGCGGAAGCCUGGUGCAGCAGCGCCGCGUGCGGGAUGACGGCCUUCGGGUUGUAAACCGCUUUCAGCAGGGGCGAAGCUUGUGGUGACGGUACCUGCAGAAGAAGCACCGGCUAACUACGUG
RNAcentral lists this ribosomal RNA (465 nucleotides) under uncultured bacterium. RNAcentral's name for it is "partial 16S ribosomal RNA". It matches the Rfam family "Bacterial small subunit ribosomal RNA", at positions 28 to 507 of the family's 1533-position model. The record is from RNAcentral.